AGGAUAAGCUUCUUAAUCAAAAGAACAUCCGAUUGCUUCAAACGAUCGACCGAGACGAUCGUACGGCACGCGACGCGAACUACGCAAGCGGUGGCUUGUACGGCAACACAUUCACCGAAGAAAAGGGGGAGGAGCCGGAAUCGGAAAGCUCCAGGAGGGCUCCGAACCAGAGCCGCCGCCGCCGCCGCGCGCAAGCAAAGACCUCGAUCACGCACCGACCGGCCGGCGAGGCGGAGGCAAGAAGGAGAGCAGACGAGCAAGGUUUUACCCGGACGCGCCGAUAAUGCGAGCGGCGACGGGGCAAUAAUCCGGGCGGCGAGUCAUGCCAUCGGCGCAUCCAUCGCCGGAGGAGGCCGCCGUUGGCCCCGGGGCGCCGGAAUCCGGCGGCGGCGAUCAGUUGCGGGCGGAGGGCUGUUGCCCGAUCGGGCGGCGAAAGAAGGAGGAG
This is a long non-coding RNA of Syzygium oleosum, 445 nucleotides long. RefSeq lists it as uncharacterized. The transcript is spliced from 2 exons. Lineage: Eukaryota; Viridiplantae; Streptophyta; Magnoliopsida; Myrtales; Myrtaceae. The record is from RefSeq and is a predicted model, not a curated record.